RNAcentral lists this ribosomal RNA (467 nucleotides) under uncultured bacterium. RNAcentral's name for it is "partial 16S ribosomal RNA". It matches the Rfam family "Bacterial small subunit ribosomal RNA", at positions 29 to 507 of the family's 1533-position model. The record is from RNAcentral.
ACGAACGCUGGCGGCGUGCUUAACACAUGCAAGUCGAACGGUGAAGCUCCAGCUUGCUGGAGUGGAUCAGUGGCGAACGGGUGAGUAACACGUGAGCAACCUGCCCCUGACUCUGGAAUAAGCGCUGGAAACGGCGUCUAAUACUGGAUACGAGAAGGGUCCGCAUGGGCACUUUCUGGAAAGUUUUUCGGUUGGGGAUGGGCUCGCGGCCUAUCAGCUUGUUGGUGAGGUAAUGGCUCACCAAGGCGACGACGGGUAGCCGGCCUGAGAGGGCGACCGGCCACACUGGGACUGAGACACGGCCCAGACUCCUACGGGAGGCAGCAGUGGGGAAUAUUGCACAAUGGGCGAAAGCCUGAUGUAGCGACGCCGCGUGAGGGAUGACGGCCUUCGGGUUGUAAACCUCUUUCAGCAGGGAAGAAGCGAAAGUGACGGUACCUGCAGAAGAAGCACCGGCUAACUACGUG